AAUGUUUCAUCUGAUCUGUGUCUUCCCUUCUACACCUCAACUGGCUUUAUGAACAGGCAUUGCCUGUGCAUUUGCAGCUAAGGGGUCUUUCCUCUAUACUGAGCAGUUAAAUUUCCUCUUUGGCUUUCUGUGUAUGUAAGGGUAUGGGACUUUAUAAUUUAUGGACCAUUCAGUGGUGAUAGUUAGAGAGAAAAGCCUAGGACCUCAACAGAAGGACACUUACCUGCCCCAAAGUUGCUCCACAGACAGAAACCUGAGUAAUUAAUGUGUCACUAGACACAAAAAUAAGCAUUUCUGAACUGGUAAAUUGAUGCAACAUGUUAAUCCUGGUUACAACUGAUUUAACUGAAUCUCAUUUCGCUGAUUAAAUGAGACUUGACUAUUUACAGCAGCCUCACUGUACACUGAAUACUAUACAACCAUCUUGCUGCAUUUGUUUAAUUUCUAAAGUUGCUGUCUGUUACCUCAGGCAGGUAAGCGGCAAGGCCCUGCUGUGACCACACACACUCUUGUGCCUAAGCAGCUCUAGAAACCGAUGUGCUUUUGAUGCUGCCAGUACACAGAAAUGAAGAAAACCACAAAAAUAAUUGGAUGGGAAUGAGAAACUUGAAAAAACUCCUCAAACUGACCAGUUUUGUUCAGUACCAAAGGAAUUGAGACAUUUCCCAUGGUGCAGAAUAUCUUCAGUUCCCUCUCUUCAAACUCCGAGGAUCUUCAGAUCUGCAUCCCCUCCUUCCUGUAAAAUAUUCCCAGAAGAAUGUUAUUCAGAGAAGGAUCUCCCAGGUCAUCCAUCAAUGCUGUCAGACCUCAAAAUCUACUAGAGUAUGAUGUGAACCCACAGGAAUCCAGAGACAGAAGUCAUCAAAAUGGAGGCAAGAGAGCAGGACCUUCUGAGCUGGAUUCUUUGAGGCAGGUUGAAUAA
RNAcentral lists this long non-coding RNA (922 nucleotides) under Numida meleagris (helmeted guineafowl). RNAcentral describes it as "lncRNA (ENSNMEG00000010317.1)". Lineage: Eukaryota; Metazoa; Chordata; Aves; Galliformes; Numididae. The record is from RNAcentral.